This 1369-nucleotide ribosomal RNA is filed under the name uncultured bacterium. Its description in RNAcentral is "bacterial SSU rRNA". It matches the Rfam family "Bacterial small subunit ribosomal RNA". The record is from RNAcentral.
AGAGUUUGAUCCUGGCUCAGGACGAACGCUGGCGGCGCGCCUAACGCAUGCAAGUCGAACGAGCGAGAGAGAGCUUGCUUUCUCGAGCGAGUGGCGAACGGGUGAGUAACGCGUGAGGAACCUGCCUCAAAGAGGGGGACAACAGUUGGAAACGACUGCUAAUACCGCAUAAGCCCACGACCCGGCAUCGGGUUGAGGGAAAAGGAGCAAUCCGCUUUGAGAUGGCCUCGCGUCCGAUUAGCUAGUUGGUGAGGUAAUGGCCCACCAAGGCGACGAUCGGUAGCCGGACUGAGAGGUUGGACGGCCACAUUGGGACUGAGACACGGCCCAGACUCCUACGGGAGGCAGCAGUGGGGAAUAUUGCACAAUGGGGGAAACCCUGAUGCAGCGACGCCGCGUGGAGGAAGAAGGUCUUCGGAUUGUAAACUCCUGUUGUUGAGGAAGAUAAUGACGGUACUCAACAAGGAAGUGACGGCUAACUACGUGCCAGCAGCCGCGGUAAAACGUAGGUCACAAGCGUUGUCCGGAAUUACUGGGUGUAAAGGGAGCGCAGGCGGGAAGACAAGUUGGAAGUGAAAUCUAUGGGCUCAACCCAUAAACUGCUUUCAAAACUGUUUUUCUUGAGUAGUGCAGAGGUAGGCGGGAAUUCCCGGUGUAGCGGUGGAAUGCGUAGAUAUCGGGAGGAACACCAGUGGCGAAGGCGGGCUACUGGGCACCAACUGACGCUGAGGCUCGAAAGUGUGGGUAGCAAACAGGAUUAGAUACCCUGGUAGUCCACACCGUAAACGAUGAUUACUAGGUGUUGGAGGAUUGACCCCUUCAGUGCCGCAGUUAACACAAUAAGUAAUCCACCUGGGGAGUACGACCGCAAGGUUGAAACUCAAAGGAAUUGACGGGGGCCCGCACAAGCAGUGGAGUAUGUGGUUUAAUUCGACGCAACGCGAAGAACCUUACCAAGUCUUGACAUCCCUUGACGAUACUGGAAACAGUAUUUCUCUUCGGAGCAAGGAGACAGGUGGUGCAUGGUUGUCGUCAGCUCGUGUCGUGAGAUGUUGGGUUAAGUCCCGCAACGAGCGCAACCCUUACUGUCAGUUACUACGCAAGAGGACUCUGGCAGGACUGCCGUUGACAAAACGGAGGAAGGUGGGGAUGACGUCAAAUCAUCAUGCCCUUUAUGACUUGGGCUACACACGUACUACAAUGGCGUUAAACAAAGAGAGGCAAGACCGCGAGGUGGAGCAAAACUCAGAAACAACGUCCCAGUUCGGACUGCAGGCUGCAACUCGCCUGCACGAAGUCGGAAUUGCUAGUAAUCGUGGAUCAGCAUGCCACGGUGAAUACGUUCCCGGGCCUGUACACACCGCCCGUC